CAUGCAAGUCGAACGCGAAAGCGGGGCAACCCGCAAGUAGAGUGGCGAACGGGUGAGUAAUACAUCGGAACGUACCCAGUAGCGGGGGAUAACCUCUCGAAAGAGAGGCUAAUACCGCAUACGACCUACGGGUGAAAGAGGGGGAUCGCAAGACCUCUCACUAUUGGAGCGGCCGAUGUCGGAUUAGCUAGUUGGUGGGGUAACGGCCCACCAAGGCUACGAUCCGUGGCUGGUCUGAGAGGACGACCAGCCACACUGGAACUGAGACACGGUCCAGACUCCUACGGGAGGCAGCAGUGGGGAAUUUUGGACAAUGGGCGAAAGCCUGAUCCAGCCAUGCCGCGUGAGUGAAGAAGGCCUUCGGGUUGUAAAGCUCUUUCGGCUGGGACGAAAAGGUCCGCGCUAACACCGCGGAUCCAUGACGGUACCAGCAGAAGAAGCACCGGCUAACUACGUGCCAGCAGCCGCGGUAAUACGUAGGGUGCAGGCGUUAAUCGGAAUUACUGGGCGUAAAGCGUGCGCAGGCGGUCUAUUAAGACAGGUGUGAAAUCCCCGGGCUUAACCUGGGAACUGCGCUUGUAACUGAUAGGCUUGAGUGUGGCAGAGGGGGGGUGGAAUUCCAGGUGUAGCAGUGAAAUGCGUAGAUAUCUGGAGGAACACCGAUGGCGAAAGCAGCCCCCUGGGCUAACACUGACGCUCA
RNAcentral lists this ribosomal RNA (700 nucleotides) under uncultured bacterium. RNAcentral describes it as "bacterial SSU rRNA". It matches the Rfam family "Bacterial small subunit ribosomal RNA", at positions 54 to 749 of the family's 1533-position model. The record is from RNAcentral.